GCCUAAGUGGCUCAGUUGGUUAAGCGUCUGACUUUUGAUCAGGUCAUGAUCUCAUGGUUUGUGAGUUCAAGCCCUGCAUCAGGCU
Molecule: transfer RNA, 85 nt
Filed under: Felis catus (domestic cat)
Lineage: Eukaryota; Metazoa; Chordata; Mammalia; Carnivora; Felidae
Also listed under: 1 other name
Rfam family: tRNA
About the family: Transfer RNA (tRNA) molecules are approximately 80 nucleotides in length. Their secondary structure includes four short double-helical elements and three loops (D, anti-codon, and T loops).
Source: Rfam by way of RNAcentral